RNAcentral lists this ribosomal RNA (74 nucleotides) under Craterellus cornucopioides var. mediosporus. RNAcentral describes it as "partial 18S ribosomal RNA". Lineage: Eukaryota; Fungi; Basidiomycota; Agaricomycetes; Cantharellales; Hydnaceae. The record is from RNAcentral.
UGUGAGAUUGGGACCAUAUUAUAAUAUCACUCAGUUGUUGGUCAAGCUGAAAAGCAAUCUACUCUUGGAGGGGA